This 1526-nucleotide long non-coding RNA is filed under the name Olea europaea (common olive). RNAcentral's name for it is "long non-coding RNA (OEUR_LNC007558)". The record is from RNAcentral. Lineage: Eukaryota; Viridiplantae; Streptophyta; Magnoliopsida; Lamiales; Oleaceae.
GAAAACACCACAGAUUCCUCAUCUUGAAACUCCUCCCACAACCCACGUAUAAUCUUCACACAACACGACUGCAAUGAGUUUUCCAUUGUCGCCUUACGUCUCCGGCGAAAUCGCUACCACAUUCAACAUACACAUAAUCGUCCCACCAUAUAACCAUCAAUCUAUAAGUAUUUUCGUCCUAUGAAGGCUAUAAACUAGAAGAUUAAUGACUCUUUCGAAGAGUGAAAAUCAAGGCAAUAAUGCAGUCAAGGCCUUAGAUAGAAUGGGUAAAAGAAAGGUAGAUAAAGUACAUAAUGUUUUCCCAUCUAAAAGGCACAAACGGACUGGACUGGGUCAGUCCCAAAAUCAACCACGAAGAAGGUAUUUUCCAAAAAUCAAUUAGGUAAUUCAAUUAUAUCUUAUGUAUGAACCCGAAAUUGAUGGUUACUGAGUAUUGAAAACGUGUUCUAUAUUUGGGAAGUAUGCUCUAAUCAAUUUGUGACAUAUGAGUUGAGUGAUUCAAUUUGUGACCUGUGAGUUAAGUGCAUUUUGAUAUUCAUUUUUCUGUAAUCAAAUUACUUUUUAUUAUUAAUUUUAGUAUUUCAAAUCCCUAUUACCAUUUGGAAUAGUUUAGCAAGUUUGUAUGACUUUGAAUUUCAUCAGAAUUAUAACAUAUAAAAUGUGUCGUUUCCUAUUAGGUCAAGGCCAGAGACCAAGUAUUCUAACCAAAAGGAUAGACAUUACUAAUAUUAGUUAUUUACCUCUUUUACAAAUUCUAGUAACUCUUAAAUUGUCCAACUGUUAACUAAUUGGUUACAUUUUAUUCAUUCGUCAUAAUACUCCAAUUACUCUCAUAUGUACGAACCUAAAAUUGCUGGUUACUAAGUAUUGAUGACCUGUUUUAUAUUUGUGAAGUAUGCUCUAUUCAAUUUGUGACCUAUGCUUUGAGUGCAUUUUGGUAUUCGAUUGUGUGACUCAUAAGAUGGGAUUCUGGCGUUGUUUAAUUUAUGAAUUAGUAAUCAUCUAAGUAACUACGUUUGUGAACUGCAAAUCCAUGUGUGAUCAACAUUUGUGUUUGGAGGUUGUGACCUAAGAAGUAGCAAUGAAAUAAAUAGCCCUACUUGUGGUAUGCCAAUCAAUAUGUGAACCAACUUCUUUCCUUAUUAUGUUACAAAUAUGCAUCUUUGUCUGUCGUGACCUAGAAAUUUUUGUGAUUUUCUACAUUAGUUUGUACUCAAUUAUGCCUUUGUGACUUCUCUAUACAUCUGUGACAAUUUCUUAUUGUUUUGUGACAAUAUAUAGGUUUUCAAGUUCAUUAUACCAGAGAAUAGUUGGUUUCUUUGUAAAAUCCCACAAAGUGUGUUUUGAUAAGAAUUAAAACAAGUCUAACAAAGUUGAAGGUGAUGCUUGAUUUCUCCAUUCGCAACAGAAAAAUGGUGACCUCUACUUUAUAGUUACACGGACUAAUAUUGGAUUCCAUACCUAAUGAACUGCAUUUUUUCAGACAUGAUCAUAACAUAUAUGUGAUCAAAUAUGCUGAGUACAUG